This 117-nucleotide ribosomal RNA is filed under the name Saimiri boliviensis boliviensis (Bolivian squirrel monkey). Lineage: Eukaryota; Metazoa; Chordata; Mammalia; Primates; Cebidae. The record is from RNAcentral.
GUCUACAGCCAUACCACCCUGAAUGUGCCCGAUCUUUCUGAUCUCAGAAGCUAAGCAGGUCGGGCCUGGUUAGUACUUGGAUGGGAAACUGCUUGGGAAUACUGGGUGCUAUAGGCU